CCCUUAGAUGUUCUGGGCCGCACGCGCGCUACACUGACGAAUGCAACGAGCUUAUAACCUUGGCCGAAAGGUCUGGGUAAUCUCCAAAUUUCGUCGUGAUGGGGAUAGAUUAUUGCAAUUAUUAAUCUUCAACGAGGUAUGCCUAGUAAGCGCAAGUCAUCAGCUUGCGUUGAUUACGUCCCUGCCCUUUGUACACACCGCCCGUCGCUCCUACCGAUUGAAUGGUCCGGUGAAGCGUUCGGACCGUGGCCUUUGGACGGUUCGCCGUCUGUUGGCUGCGGGAAGUUCGUUAAACCUUAUCAUUUAGAGGAAGGAGAAGUCGUAACA
This 327-nucleotide ribosomal RNA is filed under the name uncultured eukaryote. Its description in RNAcentral is "partial 18S ribosomal RNA". It matches the Rfam family "Eukaryotic small subunit ribosomal RNA", at positions 1470 to 1796 of the family's 1831-position model. The record is from RNAcentral.